GGGGCUGUAGUGUAGUUUGGUAUCAUUGGGGGUUCGGGGCCUCCAAACCGGGGUUCAAAUCCUCGCAGCCCCA
This 73-nucleotide transfer RNA is filed under the name Nanobdellota archaeon. RNAcentral's name for it is "tRNA-Pro". It matches the Rfam family "tRNA". Rfam says of the family: Transfer RNA (tRNA) molecules are approximately 80 nucleotides in length. RNAcentral also lists the same sequence under 1 other name. Lineage: Archaea; Nanobdellati; Nanobdellota. The record is from RNAcentral.